RNAcentral lists this long non-coding RNA (244 nucleotides) under Melopsittacus undulatus (budgerigar). Its description in RNAcentral is "lncRNA (ENSMUNG00000020241.1)". The record is from RNAcentral. Lineage: Eukaryota; Metazoa; Chordata; Aves; Psittaciformes; Psittaculidae.
AGUGGAACACUGAGUGGAGUUGGGGAAUGUCAGCAGGAAAAUGGGCACUGUUACUGCAAAUCUAAUGUUUGUGGAGAUUCCUGUGACACUUGUGAAGCUGGUUAUUAUGCUCUUGAAAACAAGAAUUAUUUUGGCUGCAGAGGCUGCCAGUGUGACGUUGGAGGAUCCCUCAGCCCGGCAUGUGCCGAGCACUCGGGUGGCUGCCAGUGCAGGGCCCAUGUCGUGGGGACAGCCUGUCAGGAGU